RNAcentral lists this small RNA (568 nucleotides) under Pongo abelii (Sumatran orangutan). Its description in RNAcentral is "processed transcript". The record is from RNAcentral. Lineage: Eukaryota; Metazoa; Chordata; Mammalia; Primates; Hominidae.
AGGGAAGAGAAGGCCAGAGAAGGGCAAAACCUGCAACGUGGCGGGGUCUAAGGAAGGUCGGAGCUCGGGGGAAUACGCAAGUUUUAGAAGAAGGCGGGAGCUGACGAAGAGGCGGGGCACCAGGAAAAGAGGUGCUCCCCAGAGAGGGCGGGGUUUAGGCAGGGAGAAUCCUAUCCGGAGAUUGUCUUGCACAGCCUGGGCCAGAAGUGUUUAAGCUUUUCCCGAGCAGAGACAGUGGCACAGCUGAGGAGCACAGAACCUCAACUGUCUGGUGUGGGUGACCGGCAGUGGUUGUACCAGACAUGUACCGAGUUCGGCUUCUGGGACACAGACCCCUGGCAUGUGCUAAGUGUAACACAGGCUUUAGGAUCCUCAGAAUCAACUCUUCUUAUCCGCACUGGCUCCCACUGCUUGGACAUGGCACCUGAGAGGCCCUCAGACUCCCCCAGCCUCCGCCUAGGGCGCCAGAACAUCUUCCAGCAGCUACAGACCUGGCUCAAGCUGGCAAAGGAGAGCCAGAUUAAGGGUGAAGUCUGAAUCUCAUACCCUUUCCACUCCCUGUAUGGUC